GGCUUUUGUGAAUAAAGUGGAACGAGUUGGAAAACUCGACCGAAGUGGGUGAUAGUCCCGUACACGUAGAAUAGCAGAAGUCCUUGAGUAGGGCGGGACACGUGAAAUCCCGUCUGAACAUGGGUCGACCACGAUCCAAGCCCAAGUACUCGUGCAUGACCGAUAGCGAACCAGUACCGUGAGGGAAAGGUGAAAAGCAACCCGA
RNAcentral lists this ribosomal RNA (205 nucleotides) under Brucella canis. RNAcentral describes it as "partial 23S ribosomal RNA". It matches the Rfam family "Bacterial large subunit ribosomal RNA", at positions 303 to 529 of the family's 2925-position model. Lineage: Bacteria; Pseudomonadati; Pseudomonadota; Alphaproteobacteria; Hyphomicrobiales; Brucellaceae. The record is from RNAcentral.